This 303-nucleotide ribosomal RNA is filed under the name uncultured Fusobacterium sp. Its description in RNAcentral is "bacterial SSU rRNA". It matches the Rfam family "Bacterial small subunit ribosomal RNA", at positions 1212 to 1513 of the family's 1533-position model. The record is from RNAcentral. Lineage: Bacteria; Fusobacteriati; Fusobacteriota; Fusobacteriia; Fusobacteriales; Fusobacteriaceae.
GGCUACACACGUGCUACAAUGGGUAGAACAGAGAGUUGCAAAGCCGUGAGGUGAAGCUAAUCUCAGAAAACUAUUCUUAGUUCGGAUUGUACUCUGCAACUCGAGUACAUGAAGUUGGAAUCGCUAGUAAUCGCGAAUCAGCAAUGUCGCGGUGAAUACGUUCUCGGGUCUUGUACACACCGCCCGUCACACCACGAGAGUUGGUUGCACCUGAAGUAGCAGGCCUAGCCGUAAGGAGGGAUGCUCCGAGGGUGUGAUUAGCGAUUGGGGUGAAGUCGUAACAAGGUAUCCGUACGGGAACGU